This is a long non-coding RNA of Mya arenaria, 454 nucleotides long. RefSeq lists it as uncharacterized. The record is from RefSeq and is a predicted model, not a curated record. Lineage: Eukaryota; Metazoa; Mollusca; Bivalvia; Myida; Myidae. The transcript has 3 exons.
AUCAUACACUGGAUAUUUGCGAUUUAGAAUAAUAUUUGUUUAAAGUUUAUUAUGUACAUUUCAGGAACAUGAUAUUUUUGAAGGCUUACACUGCAUAAGCACUGAAAAUACUCAUUGAUCGUACUAAACGGAGGUUCAUAAUAAUUUCCGGAAAUGCACAUAUCAGCCAUUACAGUUGAAUAACACAACAAAUGGUGUUUUCUUCCGAUAUAUGGCAGAAACCGGGGUGUCAUCUUUGUUUUACAGCGGGUUCUUCAAGAGUCACGAUCGGGUUAUCAUUGAUAUACUGGAGGAAAAUUCUAAACAAGUGCUCCGAGUUUUUCAUAUUGUUUUAUUUGUUGACAUCCGUAGUGCAGAUAAUAUUGACAACUGUAGAAAAAGUGCAUCUAUAAAUUAAAUGAUACUUAAUGGUCAUUAACUUUGUGUUUAACCCAUUAUACAGGAAAUACAUAUA